CCCUAAAGGACCAGACACUAUGUGAGUCAUAUAAGGGAAGGCAUUAUAGGAUUCGUAGUGCCAGGUGUUGUGUGGG
MicroRNA precursor from Mandrillus leucophaeus (drill), 76 nucleotides. The record is from Ensembl. Lineage: Eukaryota; Metazoa; Chordata; Mammalia; Primates; Cercopithecidae.